RNAcentral lists this long non-coding RNA (5314 nucleotides) under Salvia miltiorrhiza (redroot sage). RNAcentral's name for it is "long non-coding RNA (SMIL_LNC006364)". The record is from RNAcentral. Lineage: Eukaryota; Viridiplantae; Streptophyta; Magnoliopsida; Lamiales; Lamiaceae.
AUUUUUUCACGUAAAGUAUUAUUUAUGUUUCCGCUGAAUCAAAAGCAUAUCAUGCUAGGUUUUCUGGUUUAAGAAUAACUAAAAGCCAUGAUCCUUCUUCAUGUUAAAUAUCUGAGAUGCUAACUGAUGUCCGUACAUGUUGACUUGGUUUCUAGUGAAUCAAACAUAUAAUCGGGCUUUGGAAGCUUGCAUCCCCUUGUCUUUCUAAACACGAUGUUAUUUUUGUAUGUCUUGUCAGCAGGCUCGCGUGCUGCAAUGGUUAGGUGAAGAGCUGGUCAGAUGGGGGCGAUCUCAACGUUGAGAACGAGCAUUCCCCCUGGCUCAUUUCCAUCCUCAAUUUUGAGAUCAGCAGCAGCCCCAUCACCUCCCUCUAAUAAGCUAGAGUUGGCCAUGCAUAAAAUUGGUGGGUUUUGUGUACAGUAGUUUCCAUAUUCUAUGCAGUGUAAAGCAAAAGCAUCGGAGCAAUAGCUAGCAGAAGUUGAGGAGAGGACUAAUCUUUUGGGUUUUUAAGCUUUCCUAGGUUUACUCUUAUCAGCCUCCAGGUAUUCACAAGGCACCAGAACUCGUUUUAUUUCGUUUUUUGAUGUGUUCUCGACUGUAUUUUCUUCCCUUUCUCGGAAUGUUGUUUCUCUAAUUUGGAAACGUGAAGUAUCAUGCAAUGUGGAGUUCUAUCUAUAAUCAUGUGCCAUGAGCAAAUAUUAUUGUUUGCCAUGAUCUGGCUAGAAAGGUGUAAUCUUGCAGAUUUUUUUUCGAGCUUUUUGUUUCGUGAUUUUGUCCCCAUUUUUACUGGUCAUAGACAACAGUCUUAUCUUUAGACUCUUUAACUGCUUUUUCUCUCCACCUCUCAUUGUUUUGAUAUUUUAUAGCGGAUCUUUUGAAAAGUUAUUUUUCUAAAAAAAAUUGAAGAGGAAAAGGAAUAGCAUUUAUAAGUUAUAAAUGUCAUGUUUGUAAUGUUUUGGAAUAGUAUGCGUGUAUUGUUUUGGUAAUCAUGUUUGAUUGAAAAUGGUUCAAUGCUGUAAAUCAUAUAUAAAAACUGUAACAGUUAUGUUUUUUAUUCCAAGAUUUAAAGAGGAAAAGAAGAAAAUAAAAUUGGGAGUAGUNAAUCUAAUUCCCCUAUAAUAAAUCGAAUUACAAUCGAAUUUUGCGAAACCACAAGGAUUUUGGUGCUAUUUCUCCUAUAAUAAAUAUCUUUAAAUAAUUCAUUAUUUACACCAAAUGUCAUUAUCUCCGCACAUAAUUAUCUCUCUUUAUUUCUCUCUCAUAUUUUUUGAACAAAUAUAUACUCACAAAAAGUUGCUUUCUCUCUCAUAUUUUAUUAUAAACUAUUAAUUUCUUAAUAUCUGUACCCAAAUCUUGUGGCCUAUUGAAUUAGGACGGAUAAAGUAAUUUAGUUCACUUUUUUAAUCAAUAUUACAUUAUCACGAUGAUUUGACAAUAAAGUAAAAAAAUGUUUAUUGAACUAAUGACGUUGUAUAUAUAGGGAUACAUGUUUUUAUUUUUUAUUAUUUUUUUUAUUUUUUAGGCAUUAUAGGGUACAUGUUGAUUGACAUAAAAAUCAUACUUUUACACAUAUUAGCAUUUUUUUUCGGACACUUUUUAAACGUUUUAAUGUGCAAUAUCAUUUUUUUCAAUUUGUAUGUGUUUUCUAAAAAAAUAUACUAACAAUGAAUCAAUGAUACAAAUUAAAGAUGAUGUUAUAAUUAAAACAUAACGUCGUAUCGAAAUUAUAAAUAAAUCACUGGCCAACACUAUACCCCCACCAUUUCCCCACAAAUAUUCGAUUUCAGAAAGCAUUAGAAAAAUGAUUAGAGAAUCUAUGCACGCACCACCACUUUUCCCCAUCAUAUUUUAAGUGAUCGUACUAAAUUAGUACACUUUGUUAGACGUAAAUUAGUACACAUUAAAAAAAAUAAGAGUUAAUUACCUAGAAAUUAUAGUAUCAAAUUUUAGUUUUUAGAUAUAAAUUUUAAUGUUUGGUGUGAUAAUUACUUAAAUUAUUAACUGAAUUUGAUUUGGUUACUAAUCAAAAUUUCAAUAAAUUUAUUAACGACACAAUGAGUAAAAUAAUUGGCGUGACAUAGUUGUUCUUGCGUGGUAAUCUGUUGAGUAGUAAUGUCAUCAAUAAAUUAAUUGAAAUUAUAACGGGUCACAAAUCAAAUUAAAUCAAUAUUAUUAUAGUUUAAUUUUUAAAAUUUAUAGGUGUAUAAAAUCAGACUUUGAUAAAAAAAAUUCAAUCAAUUAAUCCUAAAAAUAAUAUCGAGAAUAAAUUAAAACGAAUAAAAGAAGACAACCAUGGAAGCCUAGUGAUUCGCAAUCAACGAAAGUAAAAAGUUGUUAGCUAUAAAUAAAGAAAUGCAGUGAAAAAUUGGACCCGCAUUUGUUCAGCUGUUUGGAAUUUGAGGAAUCUUGAAUCAAUGGCUCCUGUAAAUCGCCCCGUUUCUUUCCCCCAUUGAAUUGUCGCCAUUUGUAUCCUUCGCUAAAGCUCUUUUUAGCCCUUUUCCUAGGGCUUCCUUUCCCCCCUUAUAAAUCCCCUCGUCACCCCAAUUUCCGCGUCGUGCCGCUUGCUCUUGCGCUAAAGAUUCAAUUUUCGAAAGGUUGGGUUGUGGAAUUCAUCACUUGAUUGUAAGUCAUUUUGCUUUUCUUCCCGAUUUGCUUUUUGUAAUUUUUUUGGAACUUCGUUACCAUUUAGGCGUGGUUGAUCGUGGUUAGACUUCUAUUUACUGAUUUUCACCAUUUCUUUUUUGCUCGACGAGGGUGAAUUUUAGCUGAAUUGAAGUGCCCUGAAUUUUGAUUUUUGACAUGGUAGUUAUAGCUCGUAGUUUUACGGCGUGGAAUUUUCUUUACAAUUCUUGGCAUACUGUCGUUUGGUUCGCGUUGAUAGAAAUUGUUUCGCCCUAAUUUAGUCUAAUUUUGUGUAAUUUUUUUUAUUUUCUUCUGCGUAGGGUUUGUUUCUUUAUUUUGACUAUAAAGGAUUGGACACUCAGAGAGUCAGAGUUAUCCGUGAAAGACAGUAUAUAUCUGCUGAAAUGGAUGAUGGGGAGCUUGAUUUCCCAAAUGACCAAUGUUGUCAUGCUUGGACAUAACUAAUGCUCAGAGCAGUUGCUCGUUCGACAUAGACGAGUUUCUUAGUCGGACGCAGCUUGCAAUGAUGCCCUUGGUCGAACAGAGGCUUACACCGAUGGUCUUGGUCGAACACAGGCCUGCACUCAUGCUCAUGCUUGCAACCCGUCGGGCCCUGAUCAAUCCCACACGCAUACGUGCAUUCAUGUCCACACGCAAAUUAUGCCCUCCCCUAGUGAAGGUCAGGACCCCAGCGACGACACCGCUGAAUCGGUGGAUAAGAAAUCUAAAAAGAGGCCGUUGGGCAACCGUGAAGCUGUACGUAAGUACAGGGAGAAGAAGAAAGCUAGGGCUGCAUCAUUGGAGGAUGAGGUUAUCAGGUUGAGGGCUUUGAACCAGCAGCUAAUGAAGAGGCUCCAGGGUCAGGCGUUGCUGGAGGCCGAGGUUGCUAGGCUUAAGUGCUUGCUCGUGGACAUCAGAGGGAGGAUUGAGGGAGAAAUUGGAUCUUUCCCUUACCAGAAGCCGAACAAGAGUGAGGACGUCUAUCAGAACAUGGCGAAUCCUAAUAAUCCUGGAAGAUACGUGAUCAAUCCGUGUAAUAUGCAGCGUAAUGAUCCGCUUUACUGCAUUCAUCCUGGAUCAGAAGCGGCGUUAAGUGGGCAAGGCCUUGGGGAUUGUGGGUUUGACAAUCUUCAAUGUCCGGGAAAUCAAAAUUCUGAUCCGGAGGAAUUCCCUGAUUGUGGACUCGGCAAUGUUAACCUUGUUUCUAAUGCCAAUGCUUCCAGUGGAAGUAAAAGAAAAGGUAAACCAUUAUAAGCCUCCUUGUUUUCAGCACGCCUUCUUAAGAAUACCUUGAUAAGAAGUUAAGAACCUCUCUGUUGUAUCAUUUGUCUUCUCUAAUUUAAAUCAUUUUCCUUGGGUUAUCAUAUUUCCGUAUCUUAGUCGUUGUUUAGCUGGAAAAUUUCCAUGUCACACUAUUUGCUUGCUUGUAAUUCAGUCACUCUCUCUUGCCCUGCAUAUCUCCUUUUGCUUAUUUUGUAGACAGCUUACGUUGUUGGUAUUGUCAAUAGAGAUUUAGGUUACAUGUUCGAUGAAGGGUGCAAUUUUGGCAUGAUGCAUGUUUCAAAAUAUUGAGGAAUCCCAUUCUAUAAUAUGAUCUUUUUGCUUUAUGUGUAUGUGUAGGGUAGGGACAUAUUUCUCAAACUAUUAUUAUCAUACAUUAAUAUGGACUGACUAAAGAACAUUAGAAUUUUGCAAUGUUUUAGUCCUCUUUUCUAUUUAGGUAAGUAUCACAUGGAGAAGCAUGUAACUCAUGCGAAUGUUCUCCAACGCCUUCUUGAGAUGACUGGUCUGGAUGCUUGAUUUUUCUCGAGGCAAAUGGAUGUAUUUUUUAGUGUAUAGUUGACAUAGUAAAUUUUUUCACGUAAAGUAUUAUUUAUGUUUCCGCUGAAUCAAAAGCAUAUCAUGCUAGGUUUUCUGGUUUAAGAAUAACUAAAAGCCAUGAUCCUUCUUCAUGUUAAAUAUCUGAGAUGCUAACUGAUGUCCGUACAUGUUGACUUGGUUUCUAGUGAAUCAAACAUAUAAUCGGGCUUUGGAAGCUUGCAUCCCCUUGUCUUUCUAAACACAAUGUUAUUUUUGUAUGUCUUGUCAGCAGGCUCGCGUGCUGCAAUGGUUAGGUGAAGAGCUGGUCAGAUGGGGGCGAUCUCAACGUUGAGAACGAGCAUUCCCCUGGCUCAUUUCCAUCCUCAAUUUUGAGAUCAGCAGCAGCCCCAUCACCUCCCUCUAAUAAGCUAGAGUUGGCCAUGCGUAAAAUUCGUGGGUUUUGUGUACAGUAGUUUCCAUAUUCUAUGCAGUGUAAAGCAAAAGCAUCGGAGCAAUAGCUAGCAGAAGUUGAGGAGAGGACUAAUCUUUUGGGUUUUUAAGCUUUCCUAGGUUUACUCUUAUCAGCCUCCAGGUAUUCACAAGGCACCAGAACUCGUUUUAUUUCGUUUUUUGAUGUGUUCUCGACUGUAUUUUCUUCCCUUUCUCGGAAUGUUGUUUCUCUAAUUUGGAAACGUGAAGUAUCAUGCAAUGUGGAGUUCUAUCUAUAAUCAUGUGCCAUGAGCAAAUAUUAUUGUUUGCCAUGAUCUGGCUAGAAAGGUGUAAUCUUGCAGAUUUUUUUUUCGAGCUUUUUGUUUCGUGAUUUUGUCCCCAUUUUUACUGGUCAUAGACAACAGUCUUAUCUUUAGACUCUUUAACUGCUUUUUCUCUCCAC